UGGUGGGGUGACUUGUCUGCUUAAUUGCGAUAACGAACGAGACCUUAACCUGCUAAAUAGCCCGCAUUGCUCCGGCAGUGCGCUGGCUUCUUAAAGGGACUUUCGGCUCAAGCCGAAGGAAGUUUGAGGCAAUAACA
RNAcentral lists this ribosomal RNA (137 nucleotides) under uncultured eukaryote. RNAcentral describes it as "partial 18S ribosomal RNA". It matches the Rfam family "Eukaryotic small subunit ribosomal RNA", at positions 1299 to 1458 of the family's 1831-position model. The record is from RNAcentral.